AUUUCAUGUGUAGUAUGUGAAGUCACCCAAAUAUAACCAGCACCGCCACUGAGGUGAACACACAUUUUAAAAACUGGGUAAUGGAGUAUGUGAUAAUCUACUCCAUGUGAUGUUCCAGAUCAAUCACAACAAAAUGCAUUUUUAUUGAUAACAAAGAUUCCAAGACUUACUUUAUGUGUUAAUUUUUCCUUUCUUCUGCCUGCCUCACACGUCAUGCAAAUAUAAGUUUCAAAUUAUUCAAAAGUGCUGCUCCUACGGGUGUUUACCAUCCUCUUGUUUUCCUUUAGGCCUUUUCUUCAUCCCUGUAUCAUAAUUAUUGUGCUAUAUUCCAUUCCUCUGCCACCAGAAUUUGGAAUUACUCAACAACAGGAGCACUUUGUAUCUACCCUGCCUGCACUGUAUGCCUUAAGUCUUAAGCAAAGGUAGACCACAUUGAGAGUCUUAGUCUUAAAUGUACCAAAUACUUAAUGAAUAGAGCAGAUGGUCCAUGUCAUCUGAUCUAGGUGCUCCUAGAUCAUGAAUAACUAAUUCUGCAGUAGGUAUUCAUGAUCUAGGAGCACCUCUAUUUUAUACUAACCUAUGCUCUUUCCAAAUGUAACACUGAUGUAAUUCCGUACAAUUAAUUCAUAGGCCCCAACCAUUUUUUUAAAAACUUUACAAACCAUAUACAUGUUAGCAUAUAUCCAAGUAUGACAGAACACACAAAGAUUAUAUUAGCAUUUUAAUACCUAAGUUAUUUUUAACGAUGUGACAAAAUUCUAGAAAACUCACUGUAGUACUAGCACCCAUGCUAUUGUGUAUGCAUAUGUUCAAGUACUAUCCAAAAUAAAAUAAUUAUUAAAGAACAAACAAAAAUAGUUGCUGCCAAAUUCUCCAGUGUUCAUUUAAUGAUGAUCCAGCAAAGAGAACAUACAAUCCAGAAGAGCACUAAGGCUCUAUUGGAUAGUUUUGAUGCAGCUGUUCUAGAGUGCAACAGCUCAGAUUGGAGCAGGAAAAAAGUAAGCCUCCACGGGAAUCCUGGGAUGAGGAGGGACACAAAAAGUAGGAUGGAAAUAAAUGAAAUGUUAAAGACACUGAAUGUCAGGGAAAAAAUUUAUGAAGAAUUUAUACAAAUUAGUUCAAAUAGCAAUUAUGGUCUUAAAAACCAAUUCUCUUUCCACACUAGUGAGUGUGGAAAUAUAACUAAAGUUCAAGUAAAUAUUAAAAUACUUAGGGGUAAAAAAAAAAAAAAAAAAAAAAAAGGAAAAAAAAGAAAUACUUAGGGGUGCCUGGGUGGCUCAGUAGGUUAAGAAUCCCAACUGUUGAUCUCAGCUCAGGUCUUAUCUCAGGGUCCUGAGUUCAAGUUCCACAUUCACUGGGCCUUAAAAUAAACCAAAAACUAAAAAACACAUAUACACACUCUUGUAUUUUACAUAGUACAUAUUAGCUAUAUAAAAAAAAUGUUAUUAGAACUUUGGCUAACCUGACUUAAUUUAUUUGUCCUCCUUGUAGAUGUUAGAUGACAUGUACCACUGUAACAUGUUGAUUACUAACUAAAUUUGUGCCAUAAUGUAAACUGGAAAAAUUUUAAAUCAUCCCCAGUAUUUAGACAUUUAUCUCCCAACUUUUCAUCAGCUCUGAAGGAUGGGGAAGAAAUGGCAAAACAGGAAGUUUUCUUUAGAUUCCACAGACUCAGUGGCAUUCCCUUUUUCCUAACUUAAUUUCCAUUUACUAUAAAAUAUAUUAAAGAUAAAAAUCAAAAUGCAGGAACUCAGUAAUGUCAACAAUAUAAGUACGAAGAAUGUUCAUUUAUCUUCUUGGAAAUAUUUCAAAAUAUUAUUGUAAAGGUAAUUCAGAAAAGCAAAUAGUGGCUCUUUUAGAAGUGAUUUUAAAAGUCCCUAUAAUCCAUCAAAAUGAACAGUAAUGAAUGUUAACUCAAAGACCAUGAUAAAGGAAUGGAAGGGAAUUAGUAGCCUUUAAGAAAUCCUUUAGGGUAUUGGAAUAAUUACUCCAUCUUAAAUAGGAGCUGUUAAUAAAAGACCAAAAGUUUCUUCAAACUUUGUAUUACAUGCCUUUUCUCUCCCAAUGUUUUUAUUUUUUUUAAAGGUUUUAUGUAUUUGAGAGAGCGCACAACUGAAGGGAGUGGUAGGGGGGAGAGAAGCAGGCACCCCACUAAGCAGGAAGCCUGAUGCGGGACUGGAUGCCAUGACUCUGGGAUCAUAACCUGAGCAGAAGGCAGAUGCUUUACUGACUGAGACACACACAGGUGCCCCUCUCCCAAUAUUUGAACAAGUUUUUUCAGCUCUUGAUACAAUACCCAAGUUAUGUAUAAAAGAGGACUAGGUACGUGUUCCCUUCAUAACAUCCAAGCUUUAUUGAAUGAAUUCUCCUGGAAAUCUUAACUCUUUACUAGAGAAUUACCAUGAUCAGAACUUCAGCAUCUCUACAAGUGUUAUCUGAGGACCACAUAUAAAAAUGUGUAUGGACAAUCACAUCAACAAUGAGCUGCACUUUAAUAGGGUACCCUCCUGAACAGCUGCUCUUUGCAGUGGACCUGUCCUACUUUUGCCGCUUCUAAUCUUCUCGAUUUAUACCAACGUUAAAAAAAGGUAGGAGAGAAGGGUGCCUGCAUGGCUCAGUCUUAAGUGUCUGCCUUCGGCUCAGGUCAUGAUCCCACGGUCCUGGACUUGAGCCCUGCAUCUAGCUCCCCACUUAAGGAAGAGUCUGCUUCUCCCUCUGCCCCUCCCGCACUCACACUUUCUCUUGCAUGUGCUCUCAAAUAAAAUCUUAAAAAAGAAAAAGGGCAAGAGAAAAACAAACAUGUAAACUCUUAAAACCAGGAGCUUUCAUUUUACACUCAAUUAGAAAAACAAAUGUUCUUUUUCUGGAAAUAUAAUAGGAUUUGGACACAUCAGGAGGGUUUUCUUAAGAUGGGGAGGGGCAGGAGAGGGAGAGAAUCUUAAAGGAGGUUUCAUGCACAAUGGAGAGCCUGACACAGGGCUUGAUCUCACAACCCUGAGAUCAAAAUCAAGAGUCAGCCACUUAACUGAGCAACCCAGGCACUCUGGACAUCUCAGGAAGGCUGAAAUGUCCAGUUCCUCUGGUCUCCUGAAUGCUUACAGUUCCACCAACACCAAAACACCACUGUAUUUCAUACACCCAAUGCACAAAACACUUUUUUGAGUUUUUGUUUUUUGUUUUUUUUAAACUGGGACGCCUGGAUGGCUCAGCGGUUUAGCUCCUUUGGCCCAGGGCGUAAUCCUGGAGUCCCAGGAUCAAGUCCCACAUCGGGAUCCCUGCAUGGAGCCUGCUUCUCCCUCUAUGUC
Molecule: long non-coding RNA, 3305 nt
Filed under: Canis lupus familiaris (dog)
Lineage: Eukaryota; Metazoa; Chordata; Mammalia; Carnivora; Canidae
Description: lncRNA (ENSCAFG00845023936.1)
Source: RNAcentral